RNAcentral lists this long non-coding RNA (1076 nucleotides) under Malus domestica (apple). Its description in RNAcentral is "long non-coding RNA (MDOM_LNC001451)". Lineage: Eukaryota; Viridiplantae; Streptophyta; Magnoliopsida; Rosales; Rosaceae. The record is from RNAcentral.
UGCUCACUUAUCACUGUGCUCGGGCCACACAGCGCGCCACUUACGGGUGACGCCCUAGUUUUAGCGCGAUUUCGUUCUGGAUUCAUUUUCAUAAGGAUUUGACGUAAUCAUGGAGUGUCGGUUGUCGACUACCUGACGUCCUCCCCCUCCUCCUUUAUCCGGGCUUGGGACUGGCAAUGUAAGAUAAACUUACACGGCGGAGUUUCCCCCAGAAAAAUAAAUAAAUAAACAAAAUUAUGGAAUUGAAAACAACUUUAAACAGCUUUUAAUUUUUGACUUUUAGUUUUCAUUCUGUAUAUUUGUCACAUAUAUCUUCUGCCAUCCUUUGUCACUUUUUUAUCUCUCUCAUAAUCUCACGUAAACUUGCCCCUUAUCUCUAGCACAAAAUGAAAACUAAAACUUAAAGCCAAAAUCGUUAUCAAAUAAACCCUUAAUUUGUCAUGUUUUUCAACCCAACCCCAAAAACCUAGAUAAGCACCCUAAUUGUUGAGAAUGAAUCCCACAUUAAUGAGAUGAGGGACAUUGCUUGUGCUUAUAAGUUGUUGGGCUACUCCCAUAUUGCCAAUUGGUUUUAUGGUGGAACCUCAACCUUUUCAUCGUAUCAGAGCAGGUUGUCCCACGUAUGAAGCCCAACGGCCACACACGCUCCACGUCACCCCGUUGUGUUGUCCAUGUGUUAGGCUUAAAAAUUCGCCACAUGUGAAGGGGCAUGUUGAGAAUGAGUCCCACAUUUAUGGAAUGAGGGACCUUGCAUGGGCUUAUAAGUUGGUUUACUUCCCAUAUUGUCAAUUGGUUUUAUGGUGGAACCUCAACUUUCUUCAUGGUAUCAGAGCAGGUUGUCUCAUAUGUGAAGCUCAAUGGCCACACGUGCUUCACAUCACCCCGUUGUGUUGUCCACGUGUUAGGCUUGAAAAUUCACCACACGUGAGGAGGGGUGUGUUGAGAAUGAAUCCUACAUUGAUGAGAAGAAGGACCUUGCAUGUGCUCAUGAAUAAUUGGACUACUCCCCAUAUUACCAAUUUGUUUUUGGUGAAACCUCAACUUUCUUCACUUAUCAUCCCACGAAUAUAACCAGG